GACGAACGCUGGCGGCGUGCUUAACACAUGCAAGUCGAACGGAAAGGCCCUGCUUUUGUGGGGUGCUCGAGUGGCGAACGGGUGAGUAACACGUGAGUAACCUGCCCUUGACUUUGGGAUAACUUCAGGAAACUAGGGCUAAUACCGGAUAGGAGCUCCUGCUGCAUGGUGGGGGUUGGAAAGUUUCGGCGGUUGGGGAUGGACUCGCGGCUUAUCAGCUUGUUGGUGGGGUAGUGGCUUACCAAGGCUUUGACGGGUAGCCGGCCUGAGAGGGUGACCGGCCACAUUGGGACUGAGAUACGGCCCAGACUCCUACGGGAGGCAGCAGUGGGGAAUAUUGCACAAUGGGCGGAAGCCUGAUGCAGCAACGCCGCGUGCGGGAUGACGGCCUUCGGGUUGUAAACCGCUUUCGCCUGUGACGAAGCGUGAGUGACGGUAAUGGGUAAAGAAGCACCGGCUAACUACGUGCCAGCAGCCGCGGUGAUACGUAGGGUGCGAGCGUUGUCCGGAUUUAUUGGGCGUAAAGGGCUCGUAGGUGGUUGAUCGCGUCGGAAGUGUAAUCUUGGGGCUUAACCCUGAGCGUGCUUUCGAUACGGGUUGACUUGAGGAAGGUAGGGGAGAAAUGGAAUUCCUGGUGGAGCGGUGGAAUGCGCAGAUUUCAGGAGGAACACCAGUGGCGAAGGCGGUUCUUUGGGCCUUUCCUGACGCUGAGGAGCGAAAGCGUGGGGAGCGAACAGGCUUAGAUACCCUGGUAGUCCACGCUGUAAACGGUGGGUACUAGGUGUGGGGUCCAUUCCACGGGUUCCGUGCCGUAGCUAACGCUUUAAGUACCCCGCCUGGGGAGUACGGCCGCAAGGCUAAAACUCAAAGGAAUUGACGGGGCCCCGCACAAGCGGCGGAGCAUGCGGAUUAAUUCGAUGCAACGCGUAGAACCUUACCUGGGUUUGACAUGGAUCGGGAGUGCUCAGAGAUGGGUGUGCCUCUUUUGGGGUCGGUUCACAGGUGGUGCAUGGCUGUCGUCAGCUCGUGUCGUGAGAUGUUGGGUUAAGUCCCGCAACGAGCGCAACCCUUGUUCACUGUUGCCAGCACGUUAUGGUGGGGACUCAGUGGAGACCGCCGGGGUCAACUCGGAGGAAGGUGGGGAUGACGUCAAGUCAUCAUGCCCCUUAUGUCCAGGGCUUCACGCAUGCUACAAUGGCUGGUACAGAGAGUGGCGAGCCUGUGAGGGUGAGCGAAUCUCGGAAAGCCGGUCUCAGUUCGGAUUGGGGUCUGCAACUCGACCUCAUGAAGUCGGAGUCGCUAGUAAUCGCAGAUCAGCAACGCUGCGGUGAAUACGUUCCCGGGGCU
RNAcentral lists this ribosomal RNA (1347 nucleotides) under uncultured bacterium. RNAcentral's name for it is "partial 16S ribosomal RNA". It matches the Rfam family "Bacterial small subunit ribosomal RNA", at positions 28 to 1381 of the family's 1533-position model. The record is from RNAcentral.